Chinchilla lanigera (long-tailed chinchilla) is the source of this 770-nucleotide long non-coding RNA. RefSeq lists it as uncharacterized. The record is from RefSeq and is a predicted model, not a curated record. NCBI's taxonomy places the organism in Eukaryota, Metazoa, Chordata, Mammalia, Rodentia, Chinchillidae. The transcript has 2 exons.
CACACGCUUGUGGUUGGCUCACUAGUCCCUGGACUCGGGCUGCUGCUCCAGGCGCCCACGAGACCAUCCCUAACCUCGUGGCAAGGCCCAUGUGGCCCCAUGCUGGACACUUCCUGCGCCAGCAUGACCUGGCUGCAAGCCUGAGUGUCCUGGUGCAGGUGGCCGUGCCCCACAUCCCUCUCCCAGCCCUCGUCUGAUGGCCCCAUCCACACCCAGGCGUGGAAGGACCACCGAGCUCCCUGAAAGCCCGCCCGGUUCUCAGGAGAGAGACCCUUCUGGCAUUUUCUCUGUCAGGCUAGCAUUCUGGCUGCACAAAUGUCAACAGGAAGGAAGGGCGCUCCACCACACUUCUCAGAGCUGCCUAUUCAGCCCAUCCUAUUCCCAGCAGCUCCAGACUCUGCCGCGCCUUGGAGCAGCAGCUGAAGUCCAGCACCGCUUAAUGAGGAAACAGAAGGGGAAGUGUGCGGUUCCUGGGAAAUAAGGAGCCUCUGAAUGUUCCCGAGGAAGUGUGGGCCAGCCGGGAAGAAAGAUCGUGCAGAUAACGGUUCCGGAAGAUGGCUGGGCCAGCUCGGCAUAAAGGAGCGAAGAGGGAGUGGCGAGCCCAAGAGGCCCACGGUGGGGUUGUGCGCUGGUGGGGACAGGCAUGACUUCUGGGUGGCAUCCGUGGUCACCGCGGCCUGGCGCUCCCCUGCGCGCCACUGCCCUCCAGUGGCCAGGCCUGGGAUGGCCGCUCAGAGCGUGUGGGAGUCCGGGAAGAGCUCGGACAAGGA